GACGAACGCUGGCGGCGUGCCUAAUACAUGCAAGUCGAACGAGAGCGACCGGUGCUUGCACUGGUCAAUCUAGUGGCGAACGGGUGAGUAACACGUGGGUAACCUGCUCAUCAGAGGGGGAUAACAUCCGGAAACGGAUGCUAAAACCGCAUAGGUCUUCGAGCCGCAUGGCUUGAAGAGGAAAAGGGGCGCAAGCUUCUGCUGAUGGAUGGACCCGCGGUGCAUUAGCUAGUUGGUGAGGUAACGGCUCACCAAGGCCGUGAUGCAUAGCCGACCUGAGAGGGUGAUCGGCCACAUUGGGACUGAGACACGGCCCAAACUCCUACGGGAGGCAGCAGUAGGGAAUCUUCCGCAAUGGACGCAAGUCUGACGGAGCAACGCCGCGUGAGUGAAGAAGGUGUUCGGAUCGUAAAACUCUGUUGUUAGAGAAGAACAAGUGCUAGAGUAACUGUUAGCGCCUUGACGGUAUCUAACCAGAAAGCCACGGCUAACUACGUG
This 498-nucleotide ribosomal RNA is filed under the name uncultured bacterium. RNAcentral's name for it is "partial 16S ribosomal RNA". It matches the Rfam family "Bacterial small subunit ribosomal RNA", at positions 28 to 507 of the family's 1533-position model. The record is from RNAcentral.